GAUGAACGCUGGCGGCGUGCCUAAUACAUGCAAGUCGAGCGAACAGACGAGGAGCUUGCUCCUCUGACGUUAGCGGCGGACGGGUGAGUAACACGUGGAUAACCUACCUAUAAGACUGGGAUAACUUCGGGAAACCGGAGCUAAUACCGGAUAAGAUAUUGAACCGCAUGGUUCAAUAGUGAAAGACGGUUUUGCUGUCACUUAUAGAUGGAUCCGCGCCGCAUUAGCUAGUUGGUAAGGUAACGGCUUACCAAGGCAACGAUGCGUAGCCGACCUGAGAGGGUGAUCGGCCACACUGGAACUGAGACACGGUCCAGACUCCUACGGGAGGCAGCAGUAGGGAAUCUUCCGCAAUGGGCGAAAGCCUGACGGAGCAACGCCGCGUGAGUGAUGAAGGUCUUCUGAUCGUAAAACUCUGUUAUUAGGGAAGAACAAACGUGUAAGUAACUAUGCACGUCUUGACGGUACCUAAUCAGAAAGCCACGGCUAACUACGUG
This 497-nucleotide ribosomal RNA is filed under the name uncultured bacterium. RNAcentral describes it as "partial 16S ribosomal RNA". It matches the Rfam family "Bacterial small subunit ribosomal RNA", at positions 28 to 507 of the family's 1533-position model. The record is from RNAcentral.